CCUACGGGUGGCAGCAGUGGGGAAUAUUGGGCAAUGGGCGCAAGCCUGACCCAGCAACGCCGCGUGAAGGAAGAAGGCUUUCGGGUUGUAAACUUCUUUUGUCAGGGACGAAGCAAGUGACGGUACCUGACGAAUAAGCCACGGCUAACUACGUGCCAGCAGCCGCGGUAAUACGUAGGUGGCAAGCGUUAUCCGGAUUUAUUGGGUGUAAAGGGCGUGUAGGCGGGAAUGCAAGUCAGAUGUGAAAACUAUGGGCUCAACCCAUAGCCUGCAUUUGAAACUGUUUUGCUUGAGUACUGGAGAGGCAGACGGAAUUCCUGGUGUAGCGGUGAAAUGCGUAGAUAUAAGGAGGAACACCAGUGGCGAAGGCGGUCUGCUGGACAGCAACUGACGGUGAGGCGCGAAAGCGUGGGGAGCAAACAGGAUUAGAUACCCUUGUAGUC
This 443-nucleotide ribosomal RNA is filed under the name uncultured bacterium. RNAcentral's name for it is "partial 16S ribosomal RNA". It matches the Rfam family "Bacterial small subunit ribosomal RNA", at positions 338 to 795 of the family's 1533-position model. The record is from RNAcentral.